ACGCUCGACACCUACAGGAGGCAGCAGUGGGGAAUAUUGCACAAUGGGGGAAACCCUGAUGCAGCGACGCCGCGUGAGCGAAGAAGUAUUUCGGUAUGUAAAGCUCUAUCAGCAGGGAAGAAACUGACGGUACCUGACUAAGAAGCACCGGCUAAAUACGUGUCAGCAGCCGCGGUAAUCUGAGCGGGCUGGCAAGGC
RNAcentral lists this ribosomal RNA (198 nucleotides) under uncultured bacterium. RNAcentral's name for it is "partial 16S ribosomal RNA". It matches the Rfam family "Bacterial small subunit ribosomal RNA", at positions 328 to 539 of the family's 1533-position model. The record is from RNAcentral.